Molecule: ribosomal RNA, 460 nt
Filed under: uncultured bacterium
Lineage: Bacteria
Description: partial 16S ribosomal RNA
Rfam family: Bacterial small subunit ribosomal RNA
Source: RNAcentral
CCUACGGGAGGCAGCAGUGAGGAAUAUUGGUCAAUGGACGAGAGUCUGAACCAGCCAAGUAGCGUGAAGGAUGACUGCCCUAUGGGUUGUAAACUUCUUUUAUAUGGGAAUAAAACAGGGUAUGCAUACCCUCUUGUAUGUACCAUAUGAAUAAGGAUCGGCUAACUCCGUGCCAGCAGCCGCGGUAAUACGGAGGAUCCGAGCGUUAUCCGGAUUUAUUGGGUUUAAAGGGAGCGUAGGUGGAUUGUUAAGUCAGUUGUGAAAGUUUGCGGCUCAACCGUAAAAUUGCAGUUGAAACUGGCAGUCGUGAGUACAGUAGAGGUGGGCGGAAUGCGUGGUGUAGCGGUGAAAUGCUUAGAUAUCACGAAGAACUCCGAUUGCGAAGGCAGCUCACUGGACUGCAACUGACACUGAUGCUCGAAAGUGUGGGUAUCAAACAGGAUGAGAGACCCCAGUAGUC